GUCCCGGCAGUACCCAGGCACCAUAGCAGCCUGAGGAUGACCCAGCCUGGAAGCUAAGUGGGUCAGGCCUUGCUGGGUCUUGGAAUGGUGGACCACCUCGGGAGACCAAGGGCUGGAGGCU
Cercocebus atys (sooty mangabey) is the source of this 121-nucleotide ribosomal RNA. NCBI's taxonomy places the organism in Eukaryota, Metazoa, Chordata, Mammalia, Primates, Cercopithecidae. The record is from Ensembl.